UAGAGCUGGUUAUUUAAUUAACAGGCAAUAAAAUAAAUUAACGAAAAAUUAAUAAAUGAUAAGUAAAAGAGAUGUAUUAGGAUGAUCCAGAGUAUAUAUUCUGACUGAUAUAUUCCCUGAAAGUUUCAGGUCCCUUGUAAAAGGCGUGGAAAAUACGUUGCAGCAGCAUUAUGAAUGGGGUUAUGACAUUCUCUACCCUCUAUGGGUAACCCCACAGAUAAAAAUCCAAAUGAUUUAGUUUAAGGGGAGCAAGAAUAUCACACCAUACAACUCGAUCUAUUCACCUGUGCAGAAGAAACUAAAAUGUCUUCACUCUACGUCAUAUCCAGUCACCAGGAACAACAGUUAUACAGCAUCCUUUAAGUUACAGAAAAUUUUUCUCGAACUUUUCCUGGAAAAUAUAACCUUUUUCUUAAUAAAAUCGAAGAAAUAAAGUAUUAGAAAUUUCAUUGUAAUUAUCAGGGAUAAAAGAGAAUAUGCUGACACUUUACACUCAAAAAAGUCACGUUUUAGAAAUAUUUUGAAUAGUCCAUAAGUAUAAUGGACUCUUAAGAGGAAAAAAAGGAGAAAGAUGCUCGAAAGAUUUGAAAUGUGGUUAUGGAAGAAAAUGGAGAAAAUAGCCGAACUGAGAGAAUUACAAAUGAAGAAAGAUGUCUUAUAGAAUGUAUAUUGAGAAUAGAAAAGGACUUUUCUUGGGCGUAUUUUCAGAGGAAACAGUUUAUUGGGAAAUAUAGUAAAUGGGGAGACAUUGAAUAAGCAAAUUUCUCGUGUGAAAAGAAAAACUCGUUAAUUAAUUUAUCAAAAAUACUUUGAUAAAUUAAUUAACGAUUUUUUCUG
Long non-coding RNA from Centruroides sculpturatus (bark scorpion), 837 nucleotides. RefSeq lists it as uncharacterized. The record is from RefSeq and is a predicted model, not a curated record. The transcript has 3 exons. NCBI's taxonomy places the organism in Eukaryota, Metazoa, Arthropoda, Arachnida, Scorpiones, Buthidae.